This 743-nucleotide ribosomal RNA is filed under the name uncultured Burkholderiales bacterium. Its description in RNAcentral is "bacterial SSU rRNA". It matches the Rfam family "Bacterial small subunit ribosomal RNA", at positions 57 to 801 of the family's 1533-position model. Lineage: Bacteria; Pseudomonadati; Pseudomonadota; Betaproteobacteria; Burkholderiales. The record is from RNAcentral.
GCAAGUCGAACGGUGGGGUAGCAAUACCUGAGAGUGGCGAACGGGUGAGUAAUGCAUCGGAACAUGCCUAUUUGUGGGGGAUAGCCCGGCGAAAGCCGGAUUAAUACCGCAUACGAUCUACGGAUGAAAGCUGGGGACCGCAAGGCCUAGCGCAAAUAGAGUGGCCGAUGUCAGAUUAGCUAGUUGGUGGGGUAAAGGCCCACCAAGGCAACGAUCUGUAGCUGGUUUGAGAGAACGACCAGCCACACUGGGACUGAGACACGGCCCAGACUCCUACGGGAGGCAGCAGUGGGGAAUUUUGGACAAUGGGCGCAAGCCUGAUCCAGCAAUGCCGCGUGCAGGAUGAAGGCCUUCGGGUUGUAAACUGCUUUUGUACGGAACGAAACGGCUCUGGUUAAUACCCGGGGCUAAUGACGGUACUGUAAGAAUAAGCACCGGCUAACUACGUGCCAGCAGCCGCGGUAAUACGUAGGGUGCAAGCGUUAAUCGGAAUUACUGGGCGUAAAGCGUGCGCAGGCGGUUAUGUAAGACAGACGUGAAAUCCCCGGGCUCAACCUGGGAACUGCGUUUGUGACUGCAUAGCUAGAGUACGGUAGAGGGGGGUGGAAUUCCGCGUGUAGCAGUGAAAUGCGUAGAUAUGCGGAGGAACACCGAUGGCGAANGCAGCCCCCUGGACCUGUACUGACGCUCAUGCACGAGAGCAUGAGGAGCAAACAGGAUUAGAUACCCUGCUAGUCCAUGCC